Molecule: long non-coding RNA, 1479 nt
Filed under: Monodelphis domestica (gray short-tailed opossum)
Lineage: Eukaryota; Metazoa; Chordata; Mammalia; Didelphimorphia; Didelphidae
Description: lncRNA (ENSMODG00000040805.1)
Source: RNAcentral
UAGGUCAAACCAGAGAAAACCCCCAGCUCCAACCUCAGUUAACUGUCUCACACUUUCCCCCCACAUUCUGGAAUCUUUUCUCUGCAUCUGCAUCUCCCUGCAGACCCUCCUCAUCUGCAAUCUUACUUCUAACAACCCUCACUUUCCUUGUAGACAGCUAUCUUGGGCACUCGUACCAACUCCACCACCUAGGAGGGCAUAAAGAUUUAGCCAGGGAAAUCUAACUGCACAUCAAUACAAAGAACUCAGAAAACCUAGAUCUAUGGGUGGGAAGGGACCCCAGAGACCAACCAGUCUUGCCUGCCCUUAACCAAGAAUCUCUCUUCUUUAUUCCCAAUAAAUUGCUAUUAAGCCUGUACUUAAAACCUCUAUUGGAAUAGAAACAAAGGCAAUGUCUUGCACUUUUGAGGGUAAUUUUUUCAUCCUCUUUAUGAACACCCCAUUGUUCCUAGCUUGACCCUCUGGAGGCCUCUGAUGUUCUGAAAUAAACAAGGUAUUCCCAAAGAUCAAGUGUAAACUCUCCCCAAACUUGUCAUUUCAGACAUACUAUGCUUCAUUUCCACUUGAGCAGCAUGGAGCAGGGGGAAGAGGGUUAGACAUGGAAUUUGAAAAACCAAAGUUUAAAUCCCACCUCAGAUGAUUGCAAGCUGUGCAACUGGGGACAAGACUUCUAUUAAAACAAUCCCCAAAAUAUCUUUUGGAAGAGGAUUUUUUCAGCCUGCUGAAGUUGCCCAGGUCCUACAGGCUUCCUUGAACUACUUUUGAUAAUAGCUUUGAUAAAGCUUUGAAUGAAAAAGUGAAUUUCAUCUUUUCCCAAUCUUUAGUAUUCCACUAUAUAUAUAUAUUGCUUUUUUCCAUGAUAAACAUUUUAUCUUUCUAGUGAUAAUUAAAAGCUGUUGGAGGGGUUUUUUGUUUGUUUCUUUGUUUGGUUUGGGUUUUUUGGUCUUUUAACUAUUCUUCUAACUUCAAGAAGCCUAUGCCAUAUUGUAGAGCUAUCAAGAACAAUCUUUCCUUGAGGGAAGUUAAGUGGCUCAGUGGAUUGAAAGCCAUGCUCAGAGAUGAGAGGUCCUGUAUUAAAAUCUGACCUCAGACACUUCCUAGCUGUGUGACUCUGGGCAAGCCACUUAACCCCAUUGCCUAGCCCUUACCAUUCUUCUUCCUUGGAACCAAUAACAGUAUUGAUUCUAAGAUGGAAGGUAAGGGUUUAAAAAAAAAAAAAGAACAACCUUUCCAGCUACUGAGUCCCUCUGAAGAUCUUUGUUUAUUUUCUAAAGAUUAAUGAGGCUGGUUUAUAGCACUAACUUGUCAAUUCUUAAUGUUUGUUUGUAGUUUUGUUUUGUUUUGUUUUCAUUUUCAACCCUACUUUCUUUUGCUUUCUAUGUAAUUGAUCCUAUUUUAUUGCCCAUUAGAAUGACACUUGAAAUGGUAUUGUUGAGAAAAAACAGUAACAAAGUUUAUUUGGAAGAACAAAAGAUCAAG